UAUAAAUGUCACCACUUACUAAAUGGGGGAAUGUUUGGGGAACAUCUGUAACGGUCCCCGUUACAAUAAGUACUAGUUAUUAAGGUCUUCCGUUUCCAACGGAAGACCUUCUAGUGAUUCUACUGUUUAUUAUUAUUAUUAAGGUCUUCCGUUUCCAACGGAAGACCUUCUAGUGAUUCUACUGUUUAUUAUUUUUUUUUUUCCCCUUUCGUCUCCUAGACCGUUGGAUGGAUUUUCCUGAAACUUUCACAGGUUAUAGACAACGAUGGUACCUCGAGGCAUUUUUUUCAUUUUUUCAAAAUUCACUUCCGGUCGCAAGAUAUGUCCAAUUUUCGUCUUUUUACAAGAUAUCUUGUCCAGCGUCUUUCUCAGAAACAGUAAAAGAUAGAGUCACCAAAUUUUCAGAGUUAAUAGAUCUCACUUUGUAGGCGUGCAGUAGGGGGUUAAGAAUGUUGGCCGUCACUUCCGGUCGUCACCGGAAGUGAUUGAUGAAUCAUAAAUUUCAAACUUUUUUCUUUCAAAUUGAAACCUAUAUCGGUUUACUAGGUCUUGUUGUAAUUUUCAAAAAAUGUUGACCCCACCGGAAGUUGAAACUCCAACUUCCGGUUAUAUAAAAAAAGACUAUUCAUUCUCUCAUUUUUCAGUGCCAUAAAUCUCGGUCAUAAAACAAGUUAAUGAUUUGAAUUUUACGUAUGUUAUAGACACUAUAAUUGUUUAGAGUAUAUUUAAAUAUUUUUUUGAAAAUUUACUUCCGGUCGUGAGAUAUGGGGUGGACAUAUUCAAACCUUGUUUUUUCAGUUUCUCAAUAAUGAAUAUAGAUAGACGUUUGAAACUUGUAGAGUUGAUCAACUAACAUUAGUCCAUUGUACACAUGCAUUCAAUUUUUUCGUCCGUCACUUCCGGUCUAUACCGGAAGUAUUUGAAAAAAUGUCGAUUUUCCAAUUUCUUUGAGUGAUUUCUCAGAGAUGGCUGGAUAUAUUUUCUUGAAAUUUUCAGGAAUAAUGUAUUAUGAAAUGAUUUUGCUAUAGGUAUUUUUGUUUUACGAAAUUCACUUCCGGUCGGAAAAUAGGGCCGAUUUUCUGUUUCUCAAAAGGAAUUUUGUCCAGCACUUUUCUUGGAAAAGGUAAAAUAUAGGUUCAUCAUAUAUUCAGGAAUGAUCAAUCUCCGUUUGUAAGCGUGCAGUAGGGGGUUGAACAUGUCGACCGUCACUUCCUGUCGUCACCGGAAGUGAUGGAAAGAAUCGCAAAUUUCAAACAUUUCCUUUAAAUUGAAACCUAUACUAGUUCAUCAACUCUCUUUCAAAGUGUCAAAAUAAUAUUGAGUCUGUCGGUAAUCAAAACGACUACUUCCGGUUUCUUGAUAAAAUAUUUUUUACUUUUCGUCUCUUUGUCCCCAUAAAUCUCGCUUAUAUUUGAAGUUUUUCAUAUGAUUUUCACAUGUCUUAAUAAAAGUAUCAACUUCUAGAGUUUUGAUAAUUUUGUUUUUCAAAAUUGACUUCCGGUCGGUAGUAACCUGCUAGUUUUUCUUUCUUUAGUCUACUUGUUUUUGUUGAGAACUCUUUCAGAUAGAGACGUGAAAUUUUCAGGGAAUAUAGACAGUAAACAAUCGAUGUCAUUUAUAGGAAAACGCAUCUGACUAGUACUUCCGGUCGUCACCGGAAGUUACGAGAAAGGAGUAAAAAGUUCGAUGAUACAUUUCUCAUUCAUUGUUAAGGCACAUUUUCUGAUACAUUUAAAUGGUUUUCGUAGGAAUAGAAAGCUCUUUACCGGAAGUGGUCUAACGGAAGACCUACUCAUUACUAGUAAUGAGUAUCUAGUUAUUAUUAUUAUUUUUUUUUUCCCUUUCGUCUCCUAGACCGUUGGAUGGAUUUUCCUGAAACUUUCACAAGUUAUAGGGAACGAUGGUACCUCGAGGCAUUUUUUUCAUUUUUUCAAAAUUCACUUCCGUUCGUCAGAUACGUCCGAUUUUCCGGUUUUUGAAAGAAACUUUGUCCGGGGGUAAACUUGAAAACCACUAAAGAUAAUCGAAUGAAACUUUCAGGGAUGAUAGAUCUAUAUUCUCUAUGGUGCAUGCACGUAAUAUUUUUUGUCGCCGUCACUUCCGGUCGUCACCGGAAGUGAUUAAAUAAAUCAUCAAUUUCAAACUUUUUUCUUUUAAAUUGAAACCUACUUUGGUUUACUAUAUCUCGUUCUAAAUCUCAAAAAAUGUUGACCCCACCGGAAGUUGAAUCUCCAACUUCCGGUCAUAUCAAAGAAAGACUAUUCAUUCUGUCAUUUUUCAGUGCCAUAAAUCUGGGUCAUGAAACUAGUUAAUGAGUUGAGUUUUACAUAUAUUAUAGUCACUAUAAAUGUCUAGAGUAACGUCAAAUAUUUUUGUAAAAUUUACUUCCGGUCGGCAAAUACGGCUUAUGAGCUGUUUUCGUUGUCAAGCGUUUUUCUCAGAAACGGUAAAAGAUAGAGUCACCAAAUUUUCAGAUUUAAUAGAUCUCACUUUGUAGGCGUGUAGUAGGGGGGUAAGAAUGUCGGCCGUCACUUCCGGUUGUCACCGGAAGUGAUUAAUAAAUCAUAAAUUUAAAACUUUUUUCUUUGAAAAUGAAACCUAUAUCGGUUUAUUAGGUCUCGUUCUAAUUCUCAAAAACUAUUGACCCCACCGGAAGUUGAAUCUCCAACUUCCGGUUAUAUCAAAGAAAGCCUGUUCAUUCUCUCAUUUUUCAGUGCCAUAAAUCUCGGUCAUAAAACAAGUUAAUGAUUUGAAUUUUACAUAUGUUAUAGACACUAUAAAUGUGUACAGUAAAUUUAAAUAUUUUUGUAAAAUUCACUUCCGGUCGUGAGAUAUGGGGUGGACAUAUUCAAACCUUGUUUUUUCAGUUUCUCAAUAAUGAAUAUAGAUACACGUUUGAAACUUGUAGAGUUGAUCAACUAACAUUAGUCCAUUGUACACAUACAUUCAAUUUUUUUCUCCGUCACUUCCGGUCUAUACCGGAAGUAUUUGAAAAAUGUCGAUUAUCCGAUUUCUUCCAGUGAUUUCUGAGAGAUGGUGGAUAGAUUUUCUUGAAAUUUUCAGGAAUGAUGUCUUAUGAAAGGACCUUGCUAUAACUAUUUUUCUUUUUACAAAAUUCACUUCCGGUCAGAAAAUAUGGCCGAUUUUCUGUUUCUCAAAAGGAAUUUUGUCCAGCAAUUUUCUUGGAAAAGGUAAAAUAUACCUUCAUCAAUUAUUCAGAAAUUAUAAAUCUCCGUUUGCAAUCGUGCAGUAGAGGGUUGAACAUGUCGACCGUCACUUCCUGUCCUCACCGGAAGUGAUUGAAAGAAUCGCAAAUUUCAAAUUUUUUCUUUUAAAUUGAAACCUAUACUAGUUUAUUAAGUCUCUUUGAAAGUGUCAAAAGAAUAUUGACUCCGUUGGUAGUCAAAACAACUACUUCCGGUUUCUUGAUAAAAUACCUUUUUACUUUUUAUCUCUUUGUCCCCAUAAAUCUCGCUUAUAUUUGAAGUCUUUCAUAUGAUUUUCACAUGUCAUAAUAAAAGUAUCAACUUCUAAAGUUUUGAUAAUUUUGUUUUUCAAAAUUGACUUCCGGUAGGUAGUAACCUACUACUUUUUCUUUCUUUAGUCUACUUCUUUUUGUUGAGAACUCUUUGAGAUAGAGACGUGAAAUUUUCAGGGAAUAUAGACAGUAAAGAGUCGCUGUCAUUUAUGGGAAAACGCAUAAUAAAAGUACUUCCGGUCAUCACCGGAAGUUACGAGAAAUAAGUAAAAGGUUCGAUAAUACAUUUCUCAUUCAUUGUUAAGGCUUAUUUUCUGAUAUAUUUAAAUGGUUUUCGUAGGAACAGAAAGCUCUUUACCGGAAGUGGUCUAACGGAAGACCUACUCAUUACUAGUAAUGAGUUUCUAGUUAUUAUUCUUUUUCUCCGGUACUUUUUUGUCCGGUAGUGUUCUCAGAAACUACAAAAGGGAUCAAUAUGAAACUUUCCAGGAUGAUAGUAUAGCGUUUGUAGAUGUGCAGAACGAUAGUAAUUUUGUCUUCACGUGCAUGCACGUGCGCGCACGUGCAUUGCAAUUUUGGUACAAAAAAUGAAAAAUCAGAAUAUUGAAAGGAUCGAUAUGAAACCUUAAUAGGAUGAUAGUAUAUCAUUUGUAGAUGUGAAAAAUGAUAUUCAUUUUGUAUACACGCGCGUGCAUGCGCAUGCACGUGCAUCCCAAUUUUCGUACACUAACUUUGGAAUCAGUCUAACUUUUUUGUUGUUUAUAAAAAUGGCUUGAUAUUCAUAUCAUCGGUAGAUAUUGAGACCCUUAACUGAUUUGCAUGGUCAAAAUUACCAAUUUGCACGCGCAUGCACGUUCGCUUCAUUUUGAUUGGAUAAUACUAAAACGUUUGUAACUAUCUUAUUUAUGAAGCGAAUGAGAUGAUUUUCACAGCAUACGUAGACAAUAUGUUUAUGUAAAUAUUGUUGUAAGAAAAAAUGCCAACGCAUACGCGCGUUUUUUUUUCAAAUGUUCAAUUUUUAAAGGACGAUAACGUUUUUGUUUUUCAUUGAAUUUUAUUGAUAUUAGGGGUUUAGAUGUGUUUUGGUACUUCUUACAAAUUGUUGUUGUUAGAAUUACUGCUCAACACGUGCAUGUACGUGUGCUGAAUUCUGAUUGGACGAUUUUAAAAUCGCUAUAACUUCCUUAUAUUUGGUGGAAACGUUAUGAAAUUCAUACUGUGGGUAUAUGAUACAAAUGCUUGUUGAACGACAUCAACAAAAAUUCGGAAUCAUACACGCGUGCACGUGUAUGCACGUGCAACGCUUUCUUUCUUGGUACUGAAAUGACCAUAUUGAACGUACUACAUGUAAUUAAAGGCUAAAAUAAAAUGAUUUUUUGCUAUAGAUUCAUAAGGACAUCACUUUUUAAUUGGGGGAGGUUUGGGGAACAUAUGUAACAGUCCCCGUUACAAUUAAAACUAGUUUUUUUUUCCUUUUGUCUCCGAGACCGUUGGAUGGAUUUUCCUGAAACUUUCACAGAUUAUAGAGAAUGAUGGUACCUCGAGGCAUUUUUGUCAUUUUUUCAAAAUUCACUUCCUUCGUGAGAUACGCCCGAUUUUCCGGGUUUUGAAAACAACUUUGUCCGGGGGUAAACUUGAAAACCACAAAAGAUAAUCAAAUGAAACUUUCAGGGAUGAUAGAUCUAUUUUCUCUAUAGUGCAUGCACGUAAUAUUUUUUGUCGCCGUCACUUCCGGUCGUCACCGAAAGUGAUUAAAUGAAUCGUAAAUUUCAAACUUUUUUCUUUCAAAUUGAAACCUAUAUCGGUUUACUAGGUCUCUUUCUAAUUCUCAAAAAAUGUUAACCCCACCGGAAAUUGAAUCUCCAACUUCCGGUUAUAUCAAAGAAAGUCUAUUCAUUCUCUCAUUUUUCAGUGCCAUAAAUUUCGGUCAUGAAACAAGUUAAUGAGUUGAGUUUUACAUAUAUUAUAGUCAAUAUGAAUGUCUAGAGUAACGUCAAAUAUUUUGUAAAAUUCACUUCCGGUCGUUAGAUAUUGUGUGGACAAAUUCAGACUUUGUUUCCCUGAUAUCUCCGGAACGAGUAUAGAUAUACACUUGAUACUUGCAGGGGUUAUAGAUUAGGAAUAAUCCAUCUUAAACAUAUUUUGUAUAUGAGUGUACGUCACUUCCGGUUUCAACAGGAAGUGGUUGAAAAUUUACUAUAUUCAAAUUUUUUCAACACGAUUUCUCAGAGAUGGCUCCAUGGAUUUUCUUGCCAAUUAUGAAGAUGAUAGAGAAUUGUAGUACCCUUAGACACAAUCUAUCAUUUUUAUAAAAUUUACUUCCUUUCGUAAGAUAUGUCCAAUUUCCAUUUUUCAAAAAAUCAUCUUGUCCGGGGGUAAUCUCAAAAACGACUAAAGAGGAAUAAAUGAAACUUUCAGGUAUCAUAGAUCUCUCGAUUGUAUAGUGCAUGCACAUUAAUUUGUUUUUCGAUAUUACUUCCGGUCGUAACCGGAAGUGAUUGAAAGAAUCACUAAUUUCAAACUUUUUCUUUUAAAUUGAAACCUACACUAGUUUAUUAAGUCUCUUUCAAAGUAUUCAAAGAAUAUUGACCCCGUCGGUAGUCAAAACGGCUACUUCCGGUUUCUCGAUAAAAUACUCUUAUACCUUUCAUCUUUGUGCCCCCCCCCCCCCUAAAUCUCGUUUAUAUUUCAAGUGUUUGAUAUGAUUUUCAAAUAUCUUAAGAACAGUAUCAACAUCUAGAGUUAAGACAAUUUUAUUUUUCAAAAUUCACUUCCGGUCGGUAGUAAGCCACUACUUUUUCUUUCUUUAGUCUGCUUCUUUUUCUUAAAAACUCUUUCAAAUAGAGACGUGAAACUUUCAGGGAAUAUAGACAAUAGAGAGUCGCUGUGGUUUAUGGGAAAACACAUCUGAAUAUUACUUCCGGCCGUCACCGGAAGUGACGCGAAAUGGGUGAAAACUUCAUUAACACACCUCUCAUGUCUUGAAAAGGCACAUUCUCUGAUAUAUUUGAAUGAUUCUCGUAAGAACAGAAAGCUGUGUACCAGAAGUGUUCAAACGGAAGACCUACUCAUUACUAGUAAUGAGUGUCUAGUUAUUAUUUUUUUUUUCCUUUCGUCUCCGAGACGGUUGGAUGGAUUUUCAUGAAACUUUCACAGAUUAUGGAGAACGAAGGUACCUCGAGGCAUAUUUGUCAUUUUUUCAAAAUUCACUUCCGUUCGUGAGAUACGUCCGAUUUUCCGGGUUUUGAAAGCAACUUUGUCCGGGGGUAAACUUGAAAACGACUAAAGAUAAUCGAAUGAAACUUUCAGGGAUGAUAGAUCUAUUUUUUCUAUGGUGCAUGCACGUAAUAUUUUUUGUCGCUGUCACUUCCGGUCGUCACUGGAAGUGAUUAAAUGAAUCAUAAAUUUGAAACUUUUUUCUUUCAAAUUGAAACCUAUAUCGGUUUACUACACCCCUACUAACGUGUUCGGAACAUAUUCUUUAUCGGUGUUAAGUAGAACGUAAAAUCAAAGACUAUCGAAUGAAAUAUAAUCUCGCUGCUCCGAGACUCCAACGCGAGCUACCCGAGACCCGGUGAAUUUUCUACCGGCUAUGGAUGUGCUUUAAGGAAUUCCAGUGUUAAUUGUACUUUUUGGGAACUUUGAGUGAUUCACCACCCUUUGAACAAAUGUAUUUUGAGAUCCUCAAAGGAAUCCUAGAUUUGUCAAGAAGCCAUGUUUUAAUUGCUGCCCAUCAAAUAGUACAGUGUCUUGCAUGUGUAAAUUAGAUUCAUUUUGAGGAAAUAGCUGGUGUGCAGUGCACAUUCCUAAAUGAAUUCAUCAGUUUACAUUAAGGAUCUACCUUCAAAUCCUGUAAUCUGGGAUGCUCUAAAGUGCAUGUCACAGACUAAAGUUAUAAAAAUAACUUCCAAGAAUUUUUAAAAAAUUGUUAUAACUUUAAAAUGUAUGUAUAUACAUGUAUACUGAUAUUGAAUUAAAUUUUAUAAAAUUUCA
Ostrea edulis (European flat oyster) is the source of this 7471-nucleotide long non-coding RNA. RefSeq lists it as uncharacterized. NCBI's taxonomy places the organism in Eukaryota, Metazoa, Mollusca, Bivalvia, Ostreida, Ostreidae. The record is from RefSeq and is a predicted model, not a curated record. The transcript has 4 exons.